This 433-nucleotide ribosomal RNA is filed under the name uncultured bacterium. Its description in RNAcentral is "partial 16S ribosomal RNA". It matches the Rfam family "Bacterial small subunit ribosomal RNA", at positions 29 to 507 of the family's 1533-position model. The record is from RNAcentral.
AACGAACGCUGGCGGCAUGCCUAACACAUGCAAGUCGAACGAGACCUUCGGGUCUAGUGGCGCACGGGUGCGUAACGCGUGGGAACCUGCCCUUAGGUUCGGAAUAACUCCCCGAAAGGGGUGCUAAUACCGGAUAAUGUCUUCGGACCAAAGAUUUGUCGCCUUUGGAUGGGCCCGCGUUGGACUAGCUAGUUGGUAGGGUAAAAGCCUACCAAGGCGACGAUCCAUAGCUGGUCUGAGAGGAUGAUCAGCCACACUGGGACUGAGACACGGCCCAGACUCCUACGGGAGGCAGCAGUGGGGAAUAUUGGACAAUGGGCGAAAGCCUGAUCCAGCAAUGCCGCGUGAGUGAUGAAGGCCUUAGGGUUGUAAAGCUCUUUUACCCGGGAUGAUAAUGACAGUACCGGGAGAAUAAGCUCCGGCUAACUCCGUG